GACGAACGCUGGCGGCGUGCUUAACACAUGCAAGUCGAGCGGUAAGGCCCCUUCGGGGGUACACGAGCGGCGAACGGGUGAGUAACACGUGAGCAACCUACCCUCAACUUCGGGAUAAGCCUCGGAAACGGGGUCUAAUACCGGAUAUCACUUUCCACCUCAUGGUGGGGGGUUGAAAGUUCUGGCGGCUGGGGAUGGGCUCGCGGCCUAUCAGCUUGUUGGUGGGGUAAUGGCCUACCAAGGCGUCGACGGGUAGCCGGCCUGAGAGGGCGACCGGCCACACUGGGACUGAGACACGGCCAGACUCCUACGGGAGGCAGCAGUGGGGAAUAUUGCGCAAUGGACGAAAGUCUGACGCAGCAACGCCGCGUGAGGGAUGACGGCC
This 385-nucleotide ribosomal RNA is filed under the name uncultured bacterium. Its description in RNAcentral is "bacterial SSU rRNA". It matches the Rfam family "Bacterial small subunit ribosomal RNA", at positions 28 to 416 of the family's 1533-position model. The record is from RNAcentral.